This 227-nucleotide unclassified non-coding RNA is filed under the name Hevea brasiliensis (rubber tree). The record is from RNAcentral. Lineage: Eukaryota; Viridiplantae; Streptophyta; Magnoliopsida; Malpighiales; Euphorbiaceae.
ACGUAGCUAUAUAUUGCUGUGUGAGUGAGUGAGUGAUUAUGUUGGGAUUGGGUGCGUGAUUCCGCACAUAAACUGUAAGGUAAAUAUGUGUUGAGUAUUCUUCGUUUUCCAAUUUUUUCGAUUCAGUACAGUAUAUGCAGCUAUGCAUCUGUCUGAAUUUUGAGUCAGUAUGCUCGUGUGUGCACGGUCCAGAUUGAUCGUCGAUCCAUGAAGCAUCUGUACUGUCA